UAGGGAAUCUUCCGCAAUGGACGCAAGUCUGACGGAGCAACGCCGCGUGAGUGAUGAAGGUUCUCGGAUCGUAAAGCUCUGUUGCCAGGGAAGAACGGCUGGGGGAGUAACUGCCCUUGGCAUGACGGUACCUGAGAAGAAAGCCCCGGCUAACUACGUGCCAGCAGCCGCGGUAAUACGUAGGGGGCAAGCGUUGUCCGGAAUUAUUGGGCGUAAAGCGCGCGCAGGCGGUGGAUUAAGUUUGGUGUUUAAGCCCGGGGCUCAACCCCGGAUCGCACUGAAAACUGGUCGACUUGAGUGUAGGAGAGGAAAGUGGAAUUCCACGUGUAGCGGUGAAAUGCGUAGAGAUGUGGAGGAACACCAGUGGCGAAGGCGACUUUCUGGCCUAUAACUGACGCUGAGGCGCGAAAGCGUGGGGAGCAAACAGGAUUAGAUACCCCCGUAGUCC
RNAcentral lists this ribosomal RNA (448 nucleotides) under uncultured bacterium. RNAcentral describes it as "bacterial SSU rRNA". It matches the Rfam family "Bacterial small subunit ribosomal RNA", at positions 355 to 796 of the family's 1533-position model. The record is from RNAcentral.